GAGAGUCGCGCGGCGUGGAUUUGGAUUUGGAUUUGGGUUUGGGCUUUCAGAUUCCCCCUUCUCCUUUGCCUCUUGUGUUUUGUGUGGUCUGUCUCAGGUUAUCAGUGGCGCACCUCCUAAGAAUGCGCCAUUGGUAACCAUGGUUACUAAUGGUGCACCUGAUGUGUGGUGCGUCAUUACNCAAAACUAGUAAUGACGCACCACACACCAGGUGCGCCAUUAGUAAUAUGACCACUAAUGACGCACCUAUAUCUGGUGCGCCACUGCUAUAUAGCAGUGACACACCACAUAUACGGUGCGCCAUUAAUGUUCAUAUUAGCUAUAGUCAUUUUUCUAGUAAUGCGUUGUUGAUUCAUCUCAAGGUAUGGUGGAUGCAUGCUUAUAGCAGUGGCGCACCACAUAUACGGUGUGCCAUUAAUGUUCAUAUUAGCUAUAGUCAUUUUUCUAGUAAUGCGUUGUUGAUUCAUCUCAAGGUGUGGUGGAUGCAUGCUUUCGACUUUUUAGUUGCUGCUUGGAGGUUUGAUAGAGAACAAAUGAAGCAACAGAUCAUGUCAUGACUAAUAUAUGAUCAUGUGGUGCAUUUGCUGAACGAAUUGUCGGGGUACACAAAAUAGCUGCUUCGCUUUUGAUAUUUUCAGUUUGUUUCAUAAAUGUUCAGUUCAGAUGCUCAUAACUUUUCAGGUUCUGUCAAAGCUGUUUAGUUCAGAUUCUGAUAUUUUGUAUGUACAGUAUGCAAAAUGAGUCCAGCUACACGUACGACGAAUUUCAUAUGAUUUACAUACGACAGUCAGCGGCAGCCGUUCGUUGAACCACACGGACGAGUGAGAUCACAUCGUACACAAAUCGUACAAAGCUUUUGUCGUAUGCACAACAUUUCCGAUGCAAAAUCAUAUGAUUCGUACUUAGGUUGGGGGAGGCAUGGUCAGCAUUGGUGUUUUGGCGCAAUUACUGGAGAUUACUGUGAAGUUCACAAGGUGAUGAGCUUACUCGAGUGCUUUUCAUUCUUGGAGACUUUGCAUUUCGAGGUGAGUUCUUGGAUAUUUUGAAACAGCUUGUACUGUUAUAAUUUUCAUUUCGUAAAACUAAGAAGUGUAUUUUCCAUUUUGAAACUGAGAUCUACUUGCACUAUCAUACAUUAAUUUUCAGUUCGUAAAACUGAGAAGUGUAUUUUCCAUUUGGAAAUUGAGUUCUGUUUGUACUGUCAUAAUUUUCAAUUUGUAAAAUUGGAGUACUGCAGAAUUUUACUGCCAAAACUGUAACCACUGUAAAAACUGAAAAUUUGAAAUUGAAAUAAAAUAAGCUGUCACUGUGAUGCUUUGCCUAAUACUUUGAACUAUAUACCUCGUUUGGCUAUAGAGAAAAUUGCACCUAGUUGUUUAACACGCUUACAGAACUAAUCAGCCUACCAACUCAAACUACCAUCAGUAUCCAAUGAACUGCUACAGACAUAACUUUUUCCAUCAAUCCUUUGUUUUAAAUGAGUACCAAUAUUUUGGCAGGAUAGAAAGUUCCAAAUUAUGAUGCUGGUUUACGUUCCAUCUUUUAGGUUAUGAGAGAAGAUGCUGGAGAGAUGCCCUUACCAAAUUGGAAGGCUACAACCAAAUCUAAUCAGCAGCAUAGCAGUGAUCUUCGAAUAUCUCAGCAAGUGAUCAUCUUUUCAGCGAUUUCUUUUCUGUUUGGCCUUCCUGUAGGUUU
This 1695-nucleotide long non-coding RNA is filed under the name Hordeum vulgare. Its description in RNAcentral is "long non-coding RNA (HVUL_LNC001596)". The record is from RNAcentral. Lineage: Eukaryota; Viridiplantae; Streptophyta; Magnoliopsida; Poales; Poaceae.